GAUGAACGCUGGCGGCGUGCCUAAUACAUGCAAGUCGAGCGAACGGACGAGGAGCUUGCUUCUCUGUUGUUAGCGGCGGACGGGUGAGUCACACGUGGAUAACCUACCUAUCAGACUGGUAUAACUUCGGGACACCGGCGCUAAUACCGUAUAAUAUUCUGAACCGCGUGGUUCAUAAGUGAAAGACGGCGUUUCUGUCACUUAUAGAUGGAUCCGCGCUGCAUUAGCUAGUUGGUAAGGUUACGGCUUACCAAGGCAACGAUGCAUAGCCGACCUGAGAGGGCGGGCAGCCACCCUGGGACUGAGACACGGCACAGAGUCCUACGGGUGGCAGCAGUAGGGAAUCGUGCGCAAGGGGCGAGAGCCUGACGGAGAAACGCCGCGUGCGUGAUGAGGGUCUUCGGAUCGGAAAACACUGUUAUUGGGGAGGAAAAUGUGUGUGCGUAACUGUACACGUCAUGACGGGAACUAAGCAAAGAGGCACGGCUAACUUAGUU
Molecule: ribosomal RNA, 497 nt
Filed under: uncultured bacterium
Lineage: Bacteria
Description: partial 16S ribosomal RNA
Rfam family: Bacterial small subunit ribosomal RNA
Source: RNAcentral